UACGUAGGCAGCAAGCGUUGUUCGGAUUCACUGGGCGUAAAGGGUGCGUAGGUGGCCAGGUAAGUCUGAUGUGAAAUCUCGGAGCUCAACUCCGAAACUGCAUUGGAUACUAUCUGGCUGGAGGGUCGGAGGGGGGACUGGAAUUCUCGGUGUAGCAGUGAAAUGCGUAGAUAUCGAGAGGAACACCAGUGGCGAAGGCGAGUCCCUGGACGACUCCUGACACUGAGGCACGAAAGCUAGGGGAGCAAACAGG
RNAcentral lists this ribosomal RNA (253 nucleotides) under uncultured bacterium. Its description in RNAcentral is "partial 16S ribosomal RNA". It matches the Rfam family "Bacterial small subunit ribosomal RNA", at positions 524 to 776 of the family's 1533-position model. The record is from RNAcentral.